Molecule: long non-coding RNA, 206 nt
Filed under: Solanum tuberosum (potato)
Lineage: Eukaryota; Viridiplantae; Streptophyta; Magnoliopsida; Solanales; Solanaceae
Description: long non-coding RNA (STUB_LNC009418)
Source: RNAcentral
CACGGAGUUUAAGAAAUAAAUGAAGACUUUGAAAUGUUUACCAAAUUGCCCUUUAAAAAGUAGCCUCUUUUUUCUCUCUCCUCAUAAAUGUAUUGGAGUAUUAUUUUAAGAUUAAGUGGGACCAACAAGGAUAAAAGAGGAAUUGUACCUUUAUAAACUUACCAUAUAAGGAAAUGUGACAUUCUUUUUGGGACUGACCAAAAAGG